This is a microRNA precursor of Gorilla gorilla gorilla (western lowland gorilla), 73 nucleotides long. NCBI's taxonomy places the organism in Eukaryota, Metazoa, Chordata, Mammalia, Primates, Hominidae. The record is from Ensembl.
ACCAGCUCUGUUGGGACAAGAGGACGGUCUUCUUUUGGAAGGAGGACCAUCAUCUUGUCCCAAGAGAGCUGGU